AAAGAUUUGGGGUUUAAAAUUUUAGGCUAGAUUAGAGCUUUAUAGGCGCCAAAUUUAUUCGGUGGACUAUUGGGGAUGGUUAUGAUAUGCUGUAUCAUCAUUUGGAUUAGUGUGUAGAGAGGAUGAGUGAGGGGUGGAUGAGUGAGGGGUGGGGGGGGAGAUGUGUCUGAAUUGGAUCUCUCUCUUUCUGUCUUCUUUUAUGCAUUGAAAAUUCUUGGAAAGAAGGCUGCUUCUCAUUCCAAUCUGUACUACUAGAAUUAUCAUACGAGCAACGCAUGUGCGACUGCAUU
This 290-nucleotide long non-coding RNA is filed under the name Ananas comosus (pineapple). RNAcentral describes it as "long non-coding RNA (ACOM_LNC028576)". Lineage: Eukaryota; Viridiplantae; Streptophyta; Magnoliopsida; Poales; Bromeliaceae. The record is from RNAcentral.